RNAcentral lists this ribosomal RNA (433 nucleotides) under uncultured bacterium. Its description in RNAcentral is "partial 16S ribosomal RNA". It matches the Rfam family "Bacterial small subunit ribosomal RNA", at positions 28 to 507 of the family's 1533-position model. The record is from RNAcentral.
GAUGAACGCUGGCGGCAUGCCUAAUACAUGCAAGUCGAACGAGCCCUCCGGGACCAGUCUCGUCUGACUUUGUAGCCCGACGGAUACUUCACACGUGUUUACCAUACCUAUCCGACUGGGAUACCUUCGCGGAACCGUAUCUACGACCCAAUGAUUUAUCGACUUUGGAUGGGCACGCGUUAGAUUAGCUUGUUGGUAGGGUAAAAGCCUACCAAGGCGACGAUCCAUAGCUGGUCUGAGAGGAUGAUCAGCCACACUGGGACUGAGACACGGCCCAGACUCCUACGGGAGGCAGCAGUGGGGAAUAUUGGACAAUGGGCGAAAGCCUGAUCCAGCAAUGCCGCGUGAGUGAUGAAGGCCUUAGGGUUGUAAAGCUCUUUUACCCGGGAUGAUAAUGACAGUACCGGGAGAAUAAGCUCCGGCUAACUCCGUG